RNAcentral lists this ribosomal RNA (487 nucleotides) under uncultured bacterium. RNAcentral's name for it is "bacterial SSU rRNA". It matches the Rfam family "Bacterial small subunit ribosomal RNA", at positions 30 to 511 of the family's 1533-position model. The record is from RNAcentral.
AUUGAACGCUGGCGGAAUGCUUUACACAUGCAAGUCGAGCGGCAGCGCGGGGCAACCUGGCGGCGAGCGGCGAACGGGUGAGUAAUACAUCGGAACGUGCCCAGACGUGGGGGAUAACUACUCGAAAGAGUGGCUAAUACCGCAUACGAUCUACGGAUGAAAGCGGGGGAUCGCAAGACCUCGCGCGUCUGGAGCGGCUGAUGGCAGAUUAGGUAGUUGGUGGAAUAAAAGCCUACCAAGCCAACGAUCUGUAGCUGGUCUGAGAGGAUGAUCAGCCACACUGGGACUGAGACACGGCCCAGACUCCUACGGGAGGCAGCAGUGGGGAAUUUUGGACAAUGGGCGAAAGCCUGAUCCAGCCAUUCCGCGUGCAGGAUGAAGGCCCUCGGGUUGUAAACUGCUUUUGUACAGAACGAAAAAGACUCUGGUUAAUACCUGGAGUCCAUGACGGUACUGUAAGAAUAAGCACCGGCUAACUACGUGCCAG